RNAcentral lists this ribosomal RNA (440 nucleotides) under uncultured bacterium. Its description in RNAcentral is "partial 16S ribosomal RNA". It matches the Rfam family "Bacterial small subunit ribosomal RNA", at positions 338 to 795 of the family's 1533-position model. The record is from RNAcentral.
CCUACGGGUGGCAGCAGUGGGGAAUAUUGCACAAUGGGGGAAACCCUGAUGCAGCGACGCCGCGUGAGUGAAGAAGUAUUUCGGUACGUAAGGCUCUAUCAGCAGGGAAGAAAAUGACGGUACCUGACUAAGAAGCCCCGGCUAACUACGGGCCAGCAGCCGCGGUAAUACGUAGGGGGCAAGCGUUAUCCGGAUUUACUGGGUGUAAAGGGAACGUAGACGGCAGCGCAAGUCGGAAGUGAAAGCCCAUGGCUUAACCAUGGAACUGCUGUGGAAACUGGGCAGCUGGAGUGCAGGAGAGGUAGGCGGAAUUCGUGGUGUAGCGGUGAAAUGCGUAGAUAUUAGGAGGAACACCGGUGGCGAAGGCGGCUUACUGGACUAUAACUGACGUUGAGGCUCGAAAGCGUGGGGAGCAAACAGGAUUAGAUACCCGAGUAGUC